Molecule: long non-coding RNA, 7998 nt
Filed under: Malus domestica (apple)
Lineage: Eukaryota; Viridiplantae; Streptophyta; Magnoliopsida; Rosales; Rosaceae
Description: long non-coding RNA (MDOM_LNC005527)
Source: RNAcentral
GACAAUGCAUAGACCGGUACAUACUAUGUCCGCUUCAAUUAGAAGGAUGGAAGGUCUCAUCCCAUUCGUGUAGUGACACUAAGACAAGUAUGUAGGUGCUCAUUAAGGGAAUGAGUUCACUGAACACAAUCGAACGAGAGUACUUGCAUAGAGGUCUACUCACAUGUCAAGCAAGUAACUCUAAUGGUUGGAAUAAUGUAAGUAGUCCUUUGACCUGAGGCAUCAUCGUUGUCUUGUGGUUAAGUACUUGAUCUUUGAUUAUGUCAAAGUCACUCCAUCCGCGGGUGUCCACGGCAUAGUCGGGGUUAAGCCACUUAGUCAUGAAGGCAAGUGAAUGCGCAACAAUGAAUCUCUAAUCCUCGUUAAGAGAGGAUGAAUACUCUAAGAUAUGAUUCUGGAAUCUUCGGCCGAAGUAUCGAGCGUAAUAAAGGAAAGCGUUCCUAUACGACUCAAUUGAAUCAUAUAAGAAGGAAUAAUCACAUUAGGGGUUUGACAUAAUAUAUCCAUACCCUAGUGAUGUGAUUGAGAGUAUUGUUUUAGAGAAGGAUCGAAUUACAUUGUAAUUCCAACUGAAUAGGUUCUCCGAACAACUUCUACAUUAGCUUGGGUAGCCAUGAUAUAUGGUUAGAUGUCACUCAUGGCUUGUGAGUUCUUCUAGAUGAUUAAAUGUAGUCGUCAAAGAAGAAGGUGAAUUAAAAGUAAGUUUUAAUUCACUAAGUGAUUGGAUUAAAUAUAAUCAAUUGGAUUGGUGCCAAUCACCUCACUGCCUUGCUAAUUAGAACCUAAAACGAUUGUUCACCAAUACACUCUUGUAGUGAGUAAUUAAUGGAUGAUGGAAAUAAUUAAUUGGAUUAAUUAAGUGUUGUGAUUAAUUAGAAAGUCAAAAGAAAUCAUAAAAGCGAUAUUAGAUCGUUUUGGGCUUAAAGAAACGUUUGGGUUUAAUUGGGCCCAUUGGGCCUAAACCCAUUGGGCUUUUAUUCAAGCAUUGGAUGACUUGAAACAAAUAAAAGCCCAAAGCCCAAACAACACAAAGGGGCCAGCCAAAGGAGGGAGAGAAAGGUCAAAUGUUGACUUGUUUCUUUUUGGCUAUAAAAUGAACUUUAUAGCAAAUGUUUCAUUAGGGUUUUUGGAAGUGUUAAAAGAACAAAAGAGAAAAAGAAAAAUAUCUCUCUAACACUCAAAAGGCCGGCCACCAUAGGGGGAUUUAGCUAAUCAUCUUUUCACCCCUUUGGUUAUUCCUUCAUCCUUCUCACUACACUAGUGGGUGAGGAUCUUUAGAGGUUUUCAAUUUUGGAAACUUGAAGAGAACCUAGGAGCACUCAUUCUAAACAAAGUGGAGGAGGCAAGGAAGGAGGCUAGGCUCAAGGAGUUCAAGGAGCAAAGGGCUUGGAGGUGGUCCAUCCUUGGUCUAAGAUCUAGAUCAAGAGGUAUAAAACUACUCCUAAACUUUGUUCUUAUAUAAAUUUGUUUUUGAUGCAUCUUACAUAAAUUUAUGCAUCUUGAAGGGGAUUUGCAUGACUAUUGCUUUGAUAUUAUUUGAUAACAUGCUUCCGUUGCUUUCGUAUAUAAAUUUUGAAUUGUAUAUGCAUGCUAGUCACUAAAAAUCCCACAUGAAAUCUCAUGGUAUUCCCUUCAAGUGGUAUCAGAGCCAAAGGUUUAUGUAUGAUGUGUCCUUUUGGAUUUUAUGCAUAUAGGUUUUAAUUUUAUGUAUGACAUAUUAUUGCUUCAUUCAAAGUAUGUUUAUCUUUUGUUUUCAAUUGUUGAAAAAUGUAAAUCAAUAGUUGAGAAAGAUAUGUAUGCAAAAAGUGUUUUGGAUGCAUGAAUGAAGAAUGAGUUUAGAACAAUUUUUGGGGUUUUGAGUCAUAGGGAGGGCACGGCAAAAGGGGUUUUUGGCUAUGUGUUUGUGUUUUUAUUUUGAAUCACACACACACACACUUUAAAGCUAGAAAGUAGAAAUCUUGUCACUUUUGUUUUUGGGUUUGAAAAAUCACCAAGAAUAUACAAAUCUUGAAAAUGUAUUCAUGGUUUUGUUCUUGGUGUUCAUGGUUUAGUUUUUGGUGAAAAUGGUUUUAUUUGUUUCUUAUGCAUUGUUUUGUGGUUUUGGAUGAUGUACAAUCCAUCCAUAGCCAUCUCAAAAUUUAUUCAAACCUAGACUAGUCUAGUGAAAUUUCCAUCACCCUUUUCACUAAAGUCCUUAAAGCAAAACCAAGUGACAAGCAAAAUUUAAUUUUUUUUCUCUACUUUGUGUUGGUUCAAUGCAAGAUGUGUGAAACCUCCCAUCCCCAUUAUGUUGGCCGGCCACCCUAGUGGAUUACCCACUUGUGGGGCUUUUUUGUAAUGUUAAAAGGGUUGUUUAUACUUUCAAGUAUUUACGGUUUGACCCCUAACUUUUCAUAUUUGCAUUUGGGCCCCUACUAUUUGAAAAGUUGAAAUAUUUGAUUUUAAUUUUAUUAGUUGUUUAAACUCAUAAUAAUAUUAUGCCCAUAUGCACUAAAUCUAAAUGUUUAUGUUGCAUUCCAUAUGAUUAUUUAAUGUGAUUAAGUAGUUAGAAUAAUGGGUGACUAUGGACUUAUGCUUUAAACGAUAAUUGAGCUAUGAGAUAAGGCGCUAAACUCAAAUUGUUUGAACCUUGGGAAUGUGUUUUAAUUACUGUUUCAAUUGGACCUUGUCACGUUGGACAUUAAUCUAUCUCUCCCUCUUAGUAUGUGUAAUUUGUAGGAAUGUGUACAAAUCGGUUUGUAAUUCUUAUUACUUCUUAAUCUCUUUUAGUUAGUUGAUUCCCUCUAGUGCUAGACUAGAGUUUCUUUAACUAUUGGUAAGGAGACAUAACUAAAAUAGGGUUUUGACAUGAGAUUAAAGAUUAAAUGGGUCCAACGCCCUAAUUAGCAAUGAAUGAUUGUCUUUCAUUUCUAAUGGCUCAAUGAAAAUGUUUUAAUUGGAUUGAAAAGCACGUAAUUAAAUUGACACAACCUCCCCGAGUUCUUAUUCAACAAUGUUGGCUUGUUGUUGAAUUAACCCAAUAAGUCCAUGGUCAUCCAAAGAGCCUAAGAUAACUAUAAAGUCCAAUUUCAAAGGAAUGCAAAAACCAUAGUAGUAGUAGUUACUUCCAAUAUUUGAAAAAUUCGUUUUUGAUAUUGAUUUGUUUUUCUCAAAACAAAUAGUAGGAGUAUCAUAUGCUACUAAACCAUAAUGAACUCAAUUAGUAGUUAUAUAUAUCUCCAAUAUUUUGAAAAAUGUUUUGAUAUUGAUUUGUUUUAUGAAAACGAAUAGUGGGGAUAUCAUAUGCUACUAAUUUCAUUAACUCUGGACUAGUAGUUAUAAUAGGACACAAUUUAUUUGAAUGUGAUUAAAUAAAUAAAAAUUGAUGAGACCUUAAAAUCCCUCAACCAACAUACAAUAUUAAGUUGAAAGCGUAAGAGUGCUUUGAACACUUUUUCGUGGCCUUCCACCGUGGUAGGCUCCAAUCGUUUAUGACUUGUACACCGCCUUCACCCUAUCAUGGGGGAGUGCAAAGUGCAUGCUUAUACUCAGGAGGAGUUUAUUUAAAACAUUUGAUGAGGUGAAGGUAGGCAACGAGUGUGGCCAAUAUCGUAUCAUCGUGAGGUCAUACUUGGACCCCUAUCUAAACCGGCAUGGUGGGAAAGAACUUAACUAAGAAAAAUGGUGCCAAUAUCGUAUCAUCGUGAGGCAUUGUUUUCUAGAGGCCAAAAAGAUGGGUAAUCACAAGAGGUUGUUGUGAAUGGGUAAGUGUACCCUCUCAUUAUUAUUUUUGCUAGCCAAUAUCGUAUCAUCGUGAGGUGGGCUUGGUAAUAGUGAGCCUCCCAUAACCCGCUAGGAGCUUUCAUUGAAAUCUCCCAAAUUCCAUCUUGAGGGAUAUGGAAUUUGCCAAAAAUGGUGGGUGGUGUCAUUCGGUUUAAAGACCCGAAUCGUUUGACUUAAUCAACAAUCAAACUAAUUAUUUUAUUGUUUAUGUAUUUAGAUAUGGUUGGAAGCACACUCGCGAAAAUACUCGACAAACAUUGCCUAGAGGGGCACAAUUUCCCAUCAUGGUAUCGUAAUGUCAAGAUUCUCCUAACAUUGGAGAAGAUUGUUUACGUGCUAGACAAGGCCCCACCUCACAUACCUCUCGGCCCUGAGGCCACUGAGGAUGAACGUGCUAAGUAUGACAAGCACGUUGAGGAUGACACACAAGCCAAGUGCUAUCUGUUGGCUUCCAUGAAUGAGGAGCUACAGAGAUAGCACGAGGGCAUGGACAGUGCAUCUUCCAUCAUACUCCAUCUUACGGAGUUAUAUGGUGAAGGGACACGCAACCGUCGCUUUAGCACUGUCAGUGAACUUGUGAAGACCAAGAUGGUCAAGGGGGCUCCAAUGCAUCAACAUGUACUGAAGAUGAUAGGACUCAUUGAACAAUUGGAGAACCUAGGUACUCCACUUGAUGGGGAAUUGGCCCAGGACUUCAUUUUGGCUUCUCUUUCUGAUUCAUUCUCGCAGUUCGUUAUGAACUACAAUAUGAAUAAGAUGGAUAGUACUCUCUCUGAGUUACUAAACAUGUUAGUAACUGCCGAGAAGACUAUGAAGAAAGAGAACGUUGUAGGGACUGCUGCAGUAGCCUACAACAAGCCAUCCUCUUCCAAGGCUAAGCCGCAAGGCAAAAGCAAAGGGAAGGAGAAGAAGUCACCCACUCCUAAGCCGCAAGGAUGAGUGAGGAAAAAGAAGGCAAAGGAGCCCAAGAGGACUUGCCACCACUGUGGAAAGGAAGGGCAUUGGAAAAGGAAUUGCAGGUUAUACCUUGCAACUCUUAAGGACAAGCCACAAAGUAUGGUUUAUGUUCUUAUCUUCAAUUCUAAAUGUUAGAUCUUCUAAACCUUUAUAUUUGAUAUAAAGGGCUAAUCACUUGUAUAUUGUAUAUAGGUGGAGGAGCCAAGUAAGAUGAACAAGCAAGGAAAAGGUUGGAGAAGGGUUCGGCCACCAUAUUUUUUGCUAACUACUUAGGAAGUUUGUUAGGCACUUAAAGAUAGUCUUUAAACUUUCUUAUUUUGUUAAGAACUUAUUAUGUGGCUUCAUAUGAUGGAAGACCACUAUUGGUGCCUAAAUGAAGGUAUAUAAUUAGUCUCUAAAUGUAUAGAGCUAAUUCUUUUUGUAUUAAACAUUAUGAAUGUUUGAAUUAUCAUAUCAAUGUAAUGUGAUGAAUGCCUUCUAAUAUAUUAUUUCCUUAAAGUAGUGUUAUGAAUUGAAUAUUGUCUUGUUGUAUCCUAGUUGAGAUACAAGAUUUAUAUCACUUAUUGUAAUGUGAUGACCAAACUUUAGACUUAUCAACUAUGGAUAGAUCUCACAUGUAGGACAUAAAAGGAUACAAUGAAUCUUUAGAUUUGGUUCCAAUUGUCUACCUAUGAGUUCUAUAUGAAUUGACAAAGGUCUAGAGAUUCCUUUCUUAAAGAAAAGGAAGAUCACAUUAUGAUGAUAUAAGUAAUAAGAAAAACGUUUCUUAUAUGAUUAUCACUUAAACCACAAUAAUCAAAGAUCACUCUUGAUUCAAUUAGUAGUUUUGAACAACUAAUUGGGCAUUCUUUAAAUUGUUUUAAAAUGUCAAUUGUGUUAGUGAUUAAACCAAGAAAGAAGUGUCUAAAUCUAUAAAAUGUUUAAAGACUUUAGUCACUUAAUAACGAGACAUUAACUUAGUGAAGAUUGAAACAAACGAGCUUGAAAGGUUUUAAAGCUACUACACAAUGUCUUCUACCCGUAUACUCCACGUUUAUACAUUUUGAAUGUAUGAAGUGAUUUCUCAUUAAAGUCAUGAGAAAUAGUGGGAGGUGUGAAAAUGGAUAUAAACUUGAAUAUGAUUGGUUUAUAGUUGUCUAAAGAAUAAUAGUACUUGACUAUUAUUAAGAGUUUGUAAUUUUAAUUGUUAAAGGACUCAAGCUCUUCAAACGUUAAAAUUUUAUGUUGUGUAACAUUCUAAAGAAUAGUCUUUGAAUGUUGGUUUCGUCAACCUAACAUAAAAUGGUUAUAUGUUGGGAGUUGUCCAUCUUUCUCUUUUAUGAGAACAAGCUAAUAACAAAGCCCAUGGACAAAUUUGAUGAAACAAAAGGGAAUAGUUUCAAAAUGAGUCACAACAUAUAGUUUAACAACAAGACAAUCCAAAUUCGACAUCUUAUGUAACUAUAACGCUCUAUGUAGUUUUGAUAAAGAAUUAUAUCAACCACAAAGAAGGAAUGGUUGAGUUUCUAUAUCCUUAGUAGGAGCCAUGCUUCCACUAAAGACUUGGAUAAUUCUUAUAUGACUACAUUAAAGGUCUUAGUAUGACUAAAACUUGUAGUAUGGUGUAUGACACCAUAUAAUUUAAAUGAAUAGACUUGACAAAGCAAGUCACACAUUUCAAAAGGAAUUACUUGAGAAGGAAUUCUUUUGUGUAUGAUUCGUUUAAAUAACUUGUGUUAGCUAGAGUUGUUGAUAGUCUCAAAAUAGUUGAGACAUCAUCAAUAAGCUAAUGGAUCUUAAUGAUUGUCAAUAGAUCCAAGACAAGUUAGUGGGAGCAAUAUGCAUUCAAAUCAAGAAAAUAUAAUUGUUAAGUUUUUUGAAUGAAUGCUAAGUUACAACAAGGCCAGUGGGAGUGAUGUCAUAAUUUGAGCAACAAGAUAUGAAUAAAGUCUAUAUGAUAGACUUGAUAGAACAUAGAUGUUACUCGAAAAUUGACAAAACAUGACACGGUCGAUUUUGAAGUAUAGACUUGAAAUUGGACUUAUUGAUAUAGCAAGGCUAUCUCAAGAAUGUUAAAUGGGGAAAUUAAAUCUCAAAUGUUGAAGAUUUAAGAAAGCAUUUUCCUAUAUGAUAGAAAAUCACUUUCGUAACCCUUAUAAUGAAUGUGUCACAAAAUCACAAAAGGGACACAUGUAUGGACUUGUGAGUAGAUAUCCAAAAGUGAAGAACCACAGGGGUUGUCACUUUAAGAUAUUACUAUAUCCCAGGAUCAGAACCAAAGCAACUGAUAGAGUAUUAUUGCCUUUAAGAAAGGAACAUCAGAGUGGGACUCUGGAAGCGUGCAUUCACUUAGGUUAUAAACCAAAGUGAAAAUAAGCCUUUUUAACAAAUGGAACUUCAUAAUGGAUGAAGUACUAAUCAUAUGAAUGUAUUGUAAGUAUUGUACUACAAUGGUCUCAAGGUUGGAGCAAAGUUUGUAUAAUGUAUAUAACCGAAAUAUAUGACGAUAUAUUGUUUUAGAAACUGCUUCAAAAGGUGUUUUGAAUGGAAGGGGUUCUUUUAGAACCAAUGAUUGAAUCCAAACCAUAAGGUCGUGAGUAGGACACUACGAGGCAAUGGGGCGAUAGCUCAAGCCAUGGAAUCAAGGUCUCAUCAAAGUAUUCGAACACAAGAAAGAGACAUCAUCAAAUGUUUUGGAAACAUUUGAUAAGUGAAUCCCUUUUAAAUAAAAAGGAUUAAUACAUAACCAAGUUAACCUACGAGCAUAAGCUCUCUCAACUAGAAUGUAUAAGAUACACUAGUGAUUGACUUUAGUGCAAGUGGGAGAUUGUUGGAAAUAUGCCCUGAAAGUCAAUCUUUGGAAGAAACCUUUCAGGACAAUAAAUGGAUGUAUAGAUGACUCUUAUAUAUCAAAUGGCAAAGAUACUAUUUAGGACUAUCUCUAUAAACGAUAUAUGUCCUAAAUAGUGAAUCCAUGGACAAUGGAUCGAUUGAAGAAGUAAUCUAAUGAAGUUAAACUACAGAGACCUUCUUCACAUAACCAUCAUGUCCACAAGGUUCCUGGUCAUAGGAUUGUUGGAGGGAAACUGACAAUGCAUAGACCGGUACAUAUUAUGUCCACUUCAAUUAGAAGGAUGGAAGGUCUCAUCCCAUUCGUGUAGUGACACUAAGACAAGUAUGUAGGUGCUCAUUAAGGGAAUGAGUUCACUGAACACAAUCGAACGAGAGUACUUGCAUAGAGGUCUACUCACAUGUCAAGCAAGUAACUCUAAUGGUUGGAAUAAUGUAAGUAGUCCUUUG